UGGGGAAUAUUGGACAAUGGGCGAAAGCCUGAUCCAGCCAUGCCGCGUGUGUGAAGAAGGUCUUCGGAUUGUAAAGCACUUUAAGUUGGGAGGAAGGGCAGUAAGCGAAUACCUUGCUGUUUUGACGUUACCGACAGAAUAAGCACCGGCUAACUCUGUGCCAGCAGCCGCGGUAAUACAGAGGGUGCAAGCGUUAAUCGGAAUUACUGGGCGUAAAGCGCGCGUAGGUGGUUCGUUAAGUUGAAUGUGAAAGCCCCGGGCUCAACCUGGGAACUGCAUCCAAAACUGGCGAGCUAGAGUAGGGCAGAGGGUGGUGGAAUUUCCUGUGUAGCGGUGGAAUGCGUAGAUAUAGGAAGGAACACCAGUGGCGAAGGCGACCACCUGGGCUCAUACUGAUACUGAGGUGCGAAAGCGUGGGGAGCAAACAGG
This 429-nucleotide ribosomal RNA is filed under the name Pseudomonadota bacterium. Its description in RNAcentral is "Proteobacteria bacterium partial 16S ribosomal RNA". It matches the Rfam family "Bacterial small subunit ribosomal RNA", at positions 355 to 776 of the family's 1533-position model. Lineage: Bacteria; Pseudomonadati; Pseudomonadota. The record is from RNAcentral.